This 258-nucleotide ribosomal RNA is filed under the name uncultured bacterium. RNAcentral describes it as "partial 16S ribosomal RNA". It matches the Rfam family "Bacterial small subunit ribosomal RNA", at positions 96 to 354 of the family's 1533-position model. The record is from RNAcentral.
UGGCGGACGGGUGAGUAACGCGUGGGUAACCUGCCUCAUACAGGGGGAUAACAGUUAGAAAUGACUGCUAAUACCGCAUAAGACCACAGUGCCGCAUGGCACAGGGGCCAAAGCCUUGACGGUAUGAGAUGGACCCGCGUCUGAUUAGGUAGUUGGUGGGGUAACGGCCUACCAAGCCGACGAUCAGUAGCCGACCUGAGAGGGUGACCGGCCACAUUGGGACUGAGACACGGCCCAAACUCCUACGGGAGGCAGCAG